RNAcentral lists this small RNA (33 nucleotides) under Bombyx mori (domestic silkworm). Its description in RNAcentral is "ovarian small RNA-14615". The record is from RNAcentral. Lineage: Eukaryota; Metazoa; Arthropoda; Insecta; Lepidoptera; Bombycidae.
CUACCGUGGGUUCGAAUCCCACCCUCUCCGCCA